UGCAAGACAACAGAGAGGACGAGGAUGAGAACAAGAAAGACAAAGACAAGUAAUCUCACAUGAAAUCUGUGCCACCAUAGUUCAACAUGUACUCAUACAUGGGGAAACUAUGAGAGAAGCUGGACAGCUAGUGAAACCCAACUUAAGCCGUUAAAUAGUUGCAUCCAUUGUCCAAACUUUCAGAAAGGAAAAAAGCAGAACUGAGAGGUGGAAAUCUAUUGGAGGUAGUUGGAGACUUCUCACAGCUGAGCAGGAGACUGCCCUGGUGAAUAUGGCAAUAAUGCCACCUGACUGAGGGAAAUUCAAAUCCAAAUAGCUGAAGACAGGUAGUCUUCCAAGGAAUUGACAAAAUCAGCAUUUCCAUCAUGGACCAGAUCAUUAAGAAGAACCACAUGAGGACAAAACAGCUGUACUGUGUGCCUUUUUAAAAGGAAUUCAGAGUUAAAGAGUGACGAUUCCAAUGUAUGCAGUUCAUCUUUUAGAGGAAACCCAAAAGGAAAUAUCAGUCCUACAGAGGAGUUGGGUGUCGUCAAGACCUCCGCAAGCCCACACAAAUAUCAUGAAGGAUGCAACGUCAGAAACCAUGCCAGACUGGUCUAUGCCCAGAUCACCAACGAUCAUGCGUCCUGCUGUGGUGCAGGGCAGGGGAAUUGUAAAGUGAAGCUACUGGGACACAAGCAACAUCAAUCAUUAGACUUCCCAAUGGCAAAACUAUCUUUGGGACAUGGAAUGUACGCACUCUGUAUACAUGCUGAAAGACAAAAGAACUUAGCCAUGACCUUGCCAGAUACAAGUGGGACAUCCUGGCUGAUGAUGGACUGGAUUUUGUGAGACCAUUACAGAACAGGGUUACAAGAUAUGGUACAGCAGAGUUGACAACAAAAAACAACAUGGAGUCGGCUUCAUUGACAGCAAGGAGAGAAUGAACUCUGUCACCAGCUGUCCAGUCAGCAAAAGAAUUAUCUCCAUUUGUAUUGCUGCACAGCCACAUAACAUUAGUUAGAACCUUAGUAUAUUGCAGAAAACAAUGGCUCCCUUCUUACCAAUGAGACAGAGGUCUUGAAGAUGGAUUGAAUACUGCCAAGAACUGUACAGUUAUGAGCUUAGACCAAACACCAGCUUCCUGGACAACGUAACCAACACCCACAGGGAGACAGGGCAUGUGUCGAUACUGCAGGAAGAAGUGGAGGAAACAGUGCACACCCUUAAGGGAGGAAAGUCACCAGGAGUCAACAGCAUACCAGCAGAACCCCUGAAGCACCAAGGCCCCCAAUUCUUUAAGUCUCUAACUACCCUCUACAAGAGGAUUUGGGAAAGCAAGCAGUGGCCAAAAGAAUGAACCCAAUCCCUGAUCAUCCACCUUCCUAAGAAAGGCAACCUGAGAUUCUGCCAGAAGUACAGAACAAUCUUGAUCAGUCACCCCAGUAAAGUGAUGCUUCUUCUGUAUAGACUGAAGGGGAAGGCAGAGGAAAUACUUUUUAGAAAAAUAGGCGGGGUUCAGACUAAGACAAAGUACUGUUGAGCAGAUAUUUAACAUCAGAAUUCUGAUC
Long non-coding RNA from Xiphias gladius (swordfish), 1550 nucleotides. RefSeq lists it as uncharacterized. The transcript is spliced from 3 exons. Lineage: Eukaryota; Metazoa; Chordata; Actinopteri; Istiophoriformes; Xiphiidae. The record is from RefSeq and is a predicted model, not a curated record.